CAAUAGCGUAUAUUAAAGUUGUUGCAGUUAAAAAGCUCGUAGUUGGAUUUGUGGUUCGUCCCGCCGGCUGGGUCAUUGACUUUUGCUGUGCUGGUCGUCCGUCCUUGGGUGGAAUCUGUGUGGCAUUAGGUUGUCGCGCAGGGGAUGCCCAUCGUUUACUGUGAAAAAAUUAGAGUGUUCAAAGCAGGCUUAUGCCGUUGAAUAUAUUAGCAUGGAAUAAUAAUAUAGGACCUUGGUACUAUUUUGUUGGUUUGCGCACUGAGGUAAUGAUUAAUAGGGACAGUUGGGGGUAUUCGUAUUCCAUUGUAAGAGGUGAAAUUCUUGGAUUUUUGGAAGACGAACUACUGCGAAAGCAUUUACCAAGGAUGUUUNCAUUAA
This 378-nucleotide ribosomal RNA is filed under the name uncultured eukaryote. RNAcentral describes it as "partial 18S ribosomal RNA". It matches the Rfam family "Eukaryotic small subunit ribosomal RNA", at positions 592 to 976 of the family's 1831-position model. The record is from RNAcentral.